CCUACGGGAGGCAGCAGUGAGGAAUAUUGGUCAAUGGGCGGAAGCCUGAACCAGCCAAGUAGCGUGCGGGAUGAAGGCCCUACGGGUCGUAAACCGCUUUUGCACGGGGAUAACACCCUCCACUUGUGGAGGACUGCAGGUACCGUGCGACUAAGGGCCGGCUAAUUCCGUGCCAGCAGCCGCGUUAAUACGGAAGGUCCGAGCGUUAUCAGGAUUCGUUGGGCGGCAAGGGAGCGUAGGAGGGCGGUCAAGUUAGUGGUAAAAGCGCGCAGCUAAACCGCGCCCCGCAGUUGAAACUGGACGCCGUGAGUGCACAACAGGCAGGCGGAAUUCGUGGUGUAGCGGUGAAAUGCAUAGAUAUAACGAG
This 367-nucleotide ribosomal RNA is filed under the name uncultured bacterium. RNAcentral describes it as "partial 16S ribosomal RNA". It matches the Rfam family "Bacterial small subunit ribosomal RNA", at positions 338 to 703 of the family's 1533-position model. The record is from RNAcentral.